Molecule: long non-coding RNA, 378 nt
Filed under: Parus major (Great Tit)
Lineage: Eukaryota; Metazoa; Chordata; Aves; Passeriformes; Paridae
Description: lncRNA (ENSPMJG00000010570.1)
Source: RNAcentral
CUUGAAGAAAAUUGCCGUGAAAUCUUUCUGAGAGCAGCAUCUCUCUGGCAUAGGCUCGGCCUGAAAAAGCUCACAUUGCUAUCUCUUUCUGUGAUGCAUUGAUGGAUUAUUUUUGUGGGAAACGGGUUUACAUCCUCUGAAGUAGGGAGCAUACAUUUUCCACAUUUUUCCAGAAAAGCUCCUAAGAUCUUCCAUCCCAUAUUUGCUGCAGGGGGAACCUACAGACCAAUGCAAGCUCCACAGAAGUGCCUCCUCCACUCUACUUCAAGAUCUGGCUAAUUGGAAAAUCAUCUUGAAUUAUAUUCCAAGAUUUGGAUGAAAAGGUGACAAAUCACUGCAAAUUUGAAAUGAGAUCCAUCCUGAGAAAAGAGAAGAAGC